GCCGGGAGUGGUGGCGCAUGCCUGUAAUCCCAGCUACUUGGGAGGCUGAGGCAGGAGAAUCGCUUGAAUCCAGGAGGCAGAGGUUGUAGUGAGCUGAGAUCACGCCACUGCACUCCAGCCUGGGCAACAGAGCGAGACUCUGUCUCAA
This is an unclassified non-coding RNA of Pongo abelii (Sumatran orangutan), 148 nucleotides long. It matches the Rfam family "Metazoan signal recognition particle RNA". Rfam says of the family: The signal recognition particle (SRP) is a universally conserved ribonucleoprotein. The record is from Ensembl. NCBI's taxonomy places the organism in Eukaryota, Metazoa, Chordata, Mammalia, Primates, Hominidae.